UUGUCUUUAAUCUGACCGCGUCAAAAGUGACGCCAGUAGUCCCGACCAAGCGUGUUUAUAUAGGACGCUAAAGGAGACUUUUAGCGUCAAUAGCAACGCCAAAAACACAAGC
Long non-coding RNA from Etheostoma cragini (Arkansas darter), 112 nucleotides. RefSeq lists it as uncharacterized. Lineage: Eukaryota; Metazoa; Chordata; Actinopteri; Perciformes; Percidae. The record is from RefSeq and is a predicted model, not a curated record. The transcript has 3 exons.